AUGGCCUUUAUGUCCAGGGCUACACACGUGCUACAAUGGCCGGUACAAACCGAUGCAAACCCGCGAGGGUGAGCCAAUCGGAGAAAGCCGGUCUCAGUUCGGAUUGCAGUCUGCAACUCGACUGCAUGAAGCUGGAAUCGCUAGUAAUCGCGGAUCAGCAUGCCGCGGUGAAUACGUUCCCGGGCCUUGUACACACCGCCCGUCACAUCACGAAAGUGGGUUGUACUAGAAGCAGGUGAGCUAACCGCAAGGAAGCAGCCUUCCAAGGUGUGAUUCAUGAUUGGGGUGAAGUCGUAACAAGGUAGCCGUAA
RNAcentral lists this ribosomal RNA (311 nucleotides) under uncultured bacterium. Its description in RNAcentral is "bacterial SSU rRNA". It matches the Rfam family "Bacterial small subunit ribosomal RNA", at positions 1195 to 1505 of the family's 1533-position model. The record is from RNAcentral.